AUUGAACGCUGGCGGAAUGCUUUACACAUGCAAGUCGAACGGUAGAGGGGGGCAACCCCUUGAGAGUGGCGAACGGGUGAGUAAUAUAUCGGAACGUGCCCAGUCGUGGGGGAUAACGUAGCGAAAGUUACGCUAAUACCGCAUACGAUCUAAGGAUGAAAGCGGGGGAUCGCAAGACCUCGCGCGAUUGGAGCGGCCGAUAUCAGAUUAGGUAGUUGGUGAGGUAAAGGCUCACCAAGCCAACGAUCUGUAGCUGGUCUGAGAGGACGACCAGCCACACUGGAACUGAGACACGGUCCAGACUCCUACGGGAGGCAGCAGUGGGGAAUUUUGGACAAUGGACGCAAGUCUGAUCCAGCCAUUCCGCGUGCAGGAUGAAGGCCCUCGGGUUGUAAACUGCUUUUGUACGGAACGAAAGGUUUCUCUUAAUACGAGGAGACUCAUGACGGUACC
This 453-nucleotide ribosomal RNA is filed under the name uncultured bacterium. Its description in RNAcentral is "bacterial SSU rRNA". It matches the Rfam family "Bacterial small subunit ribosomal RNA", at positions 30 to 479 of the family's 1533-position model. The record is from RNAcentral.